RNAcentral lists this ribosomal RNA (252 nucleotides) under uncultured bacterium. RNAcentral describes it as "partial 16S ribosomal RNA". It matches the Rfam family "Bacterial small subunit ribosomal RNA", at positions 524 to 776 of the family's 1533-position model. The record is from RNAcentral.
UACGGGGGGUGCGAGCGUUGUCCGGAUUCACUGGGCGUAAAGGGCGCGUAGGCGGCUGAAUCAGUCUGAUCUAUAAGGUGUGGGCUUACCCUGCACAUGGAUUGGGGACGGUUGAGCUGGGGGCCAGUCGAGGAAAGCGGAAUGCCGGGUGUAGUGGUGAAAUGCGUAGAGAUCCGGCGGAACACCGGUGGUGAAGGCGGCUUUCUGGGCUGGAACCGACGCUGAGGCGCGAGAGCGCGGGGAGCGAACCGG